UACGGGGGGGGCAAGCGUUGUUCGGAAUUACUGGGCGUAAAGGGCUCGUAGGCGGCCAACUAAGUCGGACGUGAAAUCCCUCGGCUUAACCGGGGAACUGCUUCCGAUACUGGAUGGCUUGAGUGUGGGAGAGGGAUGCGGAAUUCCAGGUGUAGCGGUGAAAUGCGUAGAUAUCUGGAGGAACACCGGUGGCGAAGGCGGCAUCCUGGACCAACACUGACGCUGAGGAGCGAAAGCCAGGGGAGCAAACGGG
Molecule: ribosomal RNA, 253 nt
Filed under: uncultured bacterium
Lineage: Bacteria
Description: partial 16S ribosomal RNA
Rfam family: Bacterial small subunit ribosomal RNA
Source: RNAcentral